GAUGAACGCUGGCGGCGUGCCUAAUACAUGCAAGUCGAGCGAACGGACGAGAAGCUUGCUUCUCUGAUGUUAGCGGCGGACGGGUGAGUAACACGUGGAUAACCUACCUAUAAGACUGGGAUAACUUCGGGAAACCGGAGCUAAUACCGGAUAAUAUUUUGAACCGCAUGGUUCAAAAGUGAAAGACGGUCUUGCUGUCACUUAUAGAUGGAUCCGCGCUGCAUUAGCUAGUUGGUAAGGUAACGGCUUACCAAGGCAACGAUGCAUAGCCGACCUGAGAGGGUGAUCGGCCACACUGGAACUGAGACACGGUCCAGACUCCUACGGGAGGCAGCAGUAGGGAAUCUUCCGCAAUGGGCGAAAGCCUGACGGAGCAACGCCGCGUGAGUGAUGAAGGUCUUCGGAUCGUAAAACUCUGUUAUUAGGGAAGAACAUAUGUGUAAGUAACUGUGCACAUCUUGACGGUACCUAAUCAGAAAGCCACGGCUAACUACGUGCCAGCAGCCGCGGUAAUACGUAGGUGGCAAGCGUUAUCCGGAAUUAUUGGGCGUAAAGCGCGCGUAGGCGGUUUUUUAAGUCUGAUGUGAAAGCCCACGGCUCAACCGUGGAGGGUCAUUGGAAACUGGAAAACUUGAGUGCAGAAGAGGAAAGUGGAAUUCCAUGUGUAGCGGUGAAAUGCGCAGAGAUAUGGAGGAACACCAGUGGCGAAGGCGACUUUCUGGUCUGUAACUGACGCUGAUGUGCGAAAGCGUGGGGAUCAAACAGGAUUAGAUACCCUGGUAGUCCACGCCGUAAACGAUGAGUGCUAAGUGUUAGGGGGUUUCCGCCCCUUAGUGCUGCAGCUAACGCAUUAAGCACUCCGCCUGGGGAGUACGACCGCAAGGUUGAAACUCAAAGGAAUUGACGGGGACCCGCACAAGCGGUGGAGCAUGUGGUUUAAUUCGAAGCAACGCGAAGAACCUUACCAAAUCUUGACAUCCUUUGACAACUCUAGAGAUAGAGCUUUCCCCUUCGGGGGACAAAGUGACAGGUGGUGCAUGGUUGUCGUCAGCUCGUGUCGUGAGAUGUUGGGUUAAGUCCCGCAACGAGCGCAACCCUUAAGCUUAGUUGCCAUCAUUAAGUUGGGCACUCUAAGUUGACUGCCGGUGACAAACCGGAGGAAGGUGGGGAUGACGUCAAAUCAUCAUGCCCCUUAUGAUUUGGGCUACACACGUGCUACAAUGGACAAUACAAAGGGCAGCGAAACGGUGAGGUCAAGCAAAUCCUAUAAAGUUGUUCUCAGUUCGGAUUGUAGUCCUGCACUCGACUACAUGAAGCUGGAAUCCCUAGUAAUCGUAAAAUCGCAUGCUACGGUGAAUACGUUCCCGGGUCU
RNAcentral lists this ribosomal RNA (1372 nucleotides) under uncultured bacterium. RNAcentral describes it as "bacterial SSU rRNA". It matches the Rfam family "Bacterial small subunit ribosomal RNA", at positions 28 to 1381 of the family's 1533-position model. The record is from RNAcentral.